CCUUCUCAUGAUCAAUGAACACUAUGUGCAAGUCCUUCUUUCUCCCCCUAAACUGCUCCACUAAUCUUCUCACAAGAUGAAUCACCUCAGUAGUCAAACGACCUAGCAUAAGAUCAAACUCAAAAAUAGUCACGAUUCUUUUCAACCUCAGCCCUACUACCCAUUCCCAAACCUUUAUAGUAUGACUCAACAAUUUGAUACCCCUAUAGUUGUUGGAACUUUGAAUGUCUUUCUUGUUCUUAAAAAAAAGGAGCCAUCAUAAUCCAUCUCCAACCUUCGAACAUCUUUGUCACCUUAAAAAUAAUGUUAAACAACUUUAUCAACCACUUCAAACCUGCCUCGUAGUUCUUUUCUAAAAGUUUACCAAAAUCUCAUCCAACCUAGUCUUCCUACCUCUUUGCAUCCUAUGAAUAGCACCCUUGACCUUCUCAACCUUGAUACACCUACAAUAAUUGUAAUUGCGACACCUCUCUGAAUGCUCUAAGUCUCUCAACACAAAAAUUUUGUCUCCCUCAUAAAAUAACAAUAAUUAAAUUUAGAAUUUCAAAACAUUAUUAAUAAUAUUAGUUGACUAAAAUAGAUCUCUAACUAAAUUUUUGUAAGGAAUAUGCCAGGUCAAUAUGGCCAAAUAAAUUGAAAUUGAUAGUACAGUAAUCAUACUCUUCAUUAAUGACUAGAAGUGUACCACUUCAUUCGUCCAAUAAAGACCAAAUAAUAUGAAAUGUUGAAAAGUAAUCACUCUCUUCUUUGAUGAUCACUAGAAGAGUAUAAUACUCUGUUCAUUUUUACUUUUUGACUUUUGACUUUGCACGUCCCUAGGUAGAAAUCAACCUUGGAGUAGAUCGGGACAACUGGACAACCUUGAAAUUCUACUCCCUCAUGCUCAUGGUAUCCAGUUGGAGUGCUGAAAACUAAGUUGAGUUAUUAAGCUCUAAGGGAAAAAGCAGUAGAGAUGCAACAAAUUCUUCCUAGGUUAUGGGAGGUGCAUCUACCCCUCUUGAAUCUUU
This 1007-nucleotide long non-coding RNA is filed under the name Capsicum annuum. RNAcentral's name for it is "long non-coding RNA (CANN_LNC000198)". Lineage: Eukaryota; Viridiplantae; Streptophyta; Magnoliopsida; Solanales; Solanaceae. The record is from RNAcentral.